Notolabrus celidotus (New Zealand spotty) is the source of this 289-nucleotide long non-coding RNA. RefSeq lists it as uncharacterized. The record is from RefSeq and is a predicted model, not a curated record. Lineage: Eukaryota; Metazoa; Chordata; Actinopteri; Labriformes; Labridae. The transcript is spliced from 3 exons.
GCCAUCAAGAGAGACCAAGACAGAGGCUGUUUUUAAAAACCCCUACUAUACUAGCACUCGCUGUGUGCAGCGGUCUGCUGACGGAGCAGGAUGCAGCCCAGAGAGAGGUUGACUCAAGUCCCUCUGAGACCAAAUCCACAGAACCUCCAGAUAAACCACUGUGACUAACAGGCACACACCAGAAUGAUUCUUAUGAUGGCAGUCUGACGGGACCAGCAGUUAAAGAAACAUGGGUUACGGCCAAAUUCCACCAGAUCCGUGCUUGGUCCAUCACGGCACCGGAUCUGAU